AUUGCAAAAAUGGCAUCAUCAUCAACUUCUAUUCUUUCGACCUCAUUUCUUCCAUCCAAAACCAUUUUUUCUCAAAGAAGAAGAUCAUCAACAAAUACAAGAAAUAUAUUGACUUUGGCUAUGAGAAAAGAAGCACAUGAUCAGAGAACUAUUAUAAUGGUGGAUAUGUGGAUGAAAACAUGAUUGUCCCACUGAAAGAGGAUUCAAGAGAUGAAAAUGAUCGAGAAGAAUUACGAGCCACCAGCAGAAUGGAUGGAUUUGGAGAAAAGCUUAUAUGAGAAUUAUAAUUCAAGUAUUUGUGAAGCCAUGGGAUUUUUGCAAUAUUUGUUGAUGAAUACAAGGCCAAGCAUGGCUUUAGUCAUGGUUGCACUUGUUGCAUUGAGUGUGCCCACAUCAACUAUUGUUAUACCUUUUCAUCUCUUAGAGUUUACUAAAGGGCUUUUGGCUGGUGUUCCUAUUAUUAGUUAAAGAAAAGAUGAAGAAGAAAGAGGGUCUAGUUAACUAUAUAUGUAUAUAGCUUAAAAUUGAUUCUUUUGAUUUAUUAUUAUUGGAUGACGAUUCAAUAUAUAUUAACAUGAACUAGAAAAGGUUCUUUGCUGCU
This is a long non-coding RNA of Lycium ferocissimum, 601 nucleotides long. RefSeq lists it as uncharacterized. The transcript is spliced from 2 exons. The record is from RefSeq and is a predicted model, not a curated record. Lineage: Eukaryota; Viridiplantae; Streptophyta; Magnoliopsida; Solanales; Solanaceae.